This 253-nucleotide ribosomal RNA is filed under the name uncultured bacterium. Its description in RNAcentral is "partial 16S ribosomal RNA". It matches the Rfam family "Bacterial small subunit ribosomal RNA", at positions 524 to 776 of the family's 1533-position model. The record is from RNAcentral.
UACGUAGGGGGCAAGCGUUGUCCGGAAUCAUUGGGCGUAAAGAGCGCGUAGGCGGCCCUGUAAGUCCGCUGUGAAAGUCAAGGGCUCAACCCUUGGAUGCCGGUGGAUACUGCAGGGCUAGAGUCCGGAAGAGGCGAGUGGAAUUCCUGGUGUAGCGGUGAAAUGCGUAGAUAUCUGGAGGAACACCGGUGGCGAAGGCGGCAUCCUGGACCAUAACUGACGCUGAUCCGCGAAAGCUAGGGGAGCAAACGGG